This 520-nucleotide ribosomal RNA is filed under the name uncultured rumen bacterium. Its description in RNAcentral is "bacterial SSU rRNA". It matches the Rfam family "Bacterial small subunit ribosomal RNA", at positions 108 to 621 of the family's 1533-position model. The record is from RNAcentral.
GAGUAACGCGUAUCCAACCUUCCCCUGCAGUAGGGGAUAGCCCGGCGAAAGUCGGAUUAAUACCCUAUGUUGUUCCAUGAUAGCCUUUGAAAGGAACGAAAGAUUUAUCGCUGCGGGAUGGGGAUGCGCCUGAUUAGCUUGUUGGCGGGGUAACGGCCCACCAAGGCGACGAUCAGUAGGGGUUCUGAGAGGAAGGUCCCCCACACUGGUACUGAGACACGGACCAGACUCCUACGGGAGGCAGCAGUGAGGAAUAUUGGUCAAUGGGCGCAAGCCUGAACCAGCCAAGUAGCGUGCAGGAAGACUGCCCUAUGGGUUGUAAACUGCUUUUACAGGGGAAUAAAGUGGGGUAUGCAUACCUUUUUGCAUGUACCCUGUGAAUAAGGACCGGCUAAUUCCGUGCCAGCAGCCGCGGUAAUACGGAAGGUCCGGGCGUUAUCCGGAUUUAUAGGGUUUAAAGGGAGCGCAGGCGGUGGUUUUAUGCGUGACUUUGAAAUGGUCCCGGGCUCAACCCGGGGAG